Athene cunicularia (burrowing owl) is the source of this 427-nucleotide long non-coding RNA. RefSeq lists it as uncharacterized. The transcript is spliced from 3 exons. The record is from RefSeq and is a predicted model, not a curated record. NCBI's taxonomy places the organism in Eukaryota, Metazoa, Chordata, Aves, Strigiformes, Strigidae.
CCUCGCCGCGCUCCCCUUGGCGGCGCUUCCCCGUUCCGCAAAGCUCCAGCGCUGGGGCCGUGUCCUUUCCUCCUGUGGUGGCGGGGGGAGGGCGCUGGGUGGCACGUCCCUGGUGUUGGGGGUUGCUCCGCCAGGCCUAGGAGGCAGGUAGAACCGUCUGGCCGUUUUUUAGCAAAAGCAGCUAGCUCAGGAAGGAGAGGUCAUGCUUGUCUCAAGCACCCGGAGAGCGGGCGGCCACCUGCCGUCCUGGGGACCGGGAGCAGUGGCCCAGGAGGUUGUGUGCAAGUGAUAUUGAGAAGAAACCAUGAAAUUAUCCAGCUGUACUUAUACCAUUAGGGAGUUCUUUCUGGAUCACAGGCUAUCCUCAGUAGGAUUAGAAGGCACACAGGACCUUUCAGGAGCCACUUACCACUUUACAGGAUUAGGG